RNAcentral lists this ribosomal RNA (773 nucleotides) under uncultured Neocallimastigales. RNAcentral describes it as "partial large subunit ribosomal RNA". It matches the Rfam family "Eukaryotic large subunit ribosomal RNA", at positions 24 to 618 of the family's 3401-position model. The record is from RNAcentral. Lineage: Eukaryota; Fungi; Neocallimastigomycota; Neocallimastigomycetes; Neocallimastigales.
UAUCUCUGUAGAGUCUGCAUAUCAAUAAGCGGAGGAAAAGAAACUAACAAGGAUUCCCUUAGUAACGGCGAGUGAAGCGGGAAGAGCUCAAAUUUGAAAUCUUCAAGGUUUUACCUUGACGAAUUGUAGUUUAAAGAAGUGUUUUCUGUUGAAGUUUCGGUAAAAGUUCUUUGGAAUAGGACAUCAUAGAGGGUGAGAAUCCCGUAUUUGACCAUUAUUUCCAGCUUUGUGAUACACCUUCAAAGAGUCGGAUUGUUUGGGAAUGCAGUCCAAAAUGGGUGGUAAAUUUCAUCUAAAGCUAAAUAUUGGCGAGAGACCGAUAGCGAACAAGUACCGUGAGGGAAAGAUGAAAAGAACUUUGAAAAGAGAGUUAAACAGUACGUGAAAUUGUCAAAAGGGAAGCGUUUGACACCAGUGUUGUUUCUACGAAAAUCAAUUUAUGAUGGCUUGAUGCUAAGCUUUAAGACUUUAUCCGCUUGUUGUUUAGUUUUCUUGUCUUUGUGAAUGCACUUUUCGUGGAACAAGUCAACAUCAAUUUCUUUUGCUGUAAAAGGGUAAGAGGAAGGUAGCUUCGGCUUCGGUUGAAGUGUUUAUAGCCUUUUAUCUCUGCAGUCGGAGAGAUUGAGGUCUGCAGCGUAGACUCUUCGGGGUUAGAUACGUCGGUGCUAAGCUAUAGCUUUUCAUAGACAACUUGUUGACUAUGAUUAGUCAUGUAGCUUACUCGCUUCUGCUAUUUUACCUACGCUUAGGAUGUUGAGUCAUCACACAUCUCU